Molecule: non-coding RNA, 227 nt
Organism: Pelobates cultripes (western spadefoot toad)
Lineage: Eukaryota; Metazoa; Chordata; Amphibia; Anura; Pelobatidae
Source: the annotation of a GenBank genome assembly
GCCGUAUAGCCAGGAGGAAGAGGAGCUCGGCCACGCUACAGGGAAGUGGAGGUGAGGGGGGAGUAAAAAAACAUAGGAAGGGGAGGGAGGGAGUAAAAAAAACAUGGGGAGAGGGGGAGUAAAAAAAAACAUAGGGAGGGAGUGAAAAAAACAUGGGGAGGGAAGUAAGAAGGACAGGGGGAGGAGAGUAAGAAGUGUCUCAGUGGUAUAUUGGACCUUGGAGUGUC